RNAcentral lists this ribosomal RNA (253 nucleotides) under uncultured bacterium. RNAcentral's name for it is "partial 16S ribosomal RNA". It matches the Rfam family "Bacterial small subunit ribosomal RNA", at positions 524 to 776 of the family's 1533-position model. The record is from RNAcentral.
UACGUAGGGUGCGAGCGUUGUCCGGAAUUAUUGGGCGUAAAGAGCUUGUAGGCGGUUUGUCGCGUCUGCUGUGAAAUUUCGGGGCUCAACCCCGAACUUGCAGUGGGUACGGGCAGACUAGAGUGUGGUAGGGGAGACUGGAAUUCCUGGUGUAGCGGUGAAAUGCGCAGAUAUCAGGAGGAACACCGAUGGCGAAGGCAGGUCUCUGGGCCACUACUGACGCUGAGACACGAAAGCGUGGGUAGCAAACAGG